GAGUUUGGUGGCAAGAAAUUCGAGAAAUUUCUGAAACUUAGAGUAAAGUAAGCAAAAUUAGAGAAGGAAAUGAAAUGCUUUGAUGGAAGAAUCACAAACUUGUUCUAGGUUUUUUUCAUGUUUUGGACGUGGACAUGAAAAACAUAGGUUCUUUCUAAUUUAGCAAAAAUUAUUUUCACUCAUAUUUAAUCUUUUGUCUUGUUUAAUCU
This 209-nucleotide long non-coding RNA is filed under the name Glycine max (soybean). Its description in RNAcentral is "long non-coding RNA (GMAX_LNC003959)". The record is from RNAcentral. Lineage: Eukaryota; Viridiplantae; Streptophyta; Magnoliopsida; Fabales; Fabaceae.